Gadus morhua (Atlantic cod) is the source of this 1147-nucleotide long non-coding RNA. RefSeq lists it as uncharacterized. The transcript is spliced from 3 exons. NCBI's taxonomy places the organism in Eukaryota, Metazoa, Chordata, Actinopteri, Gadiformes, Gadidae. The record is from RefSeq and is a predicted model, not a curated record.
AAUGGAUUACUAUGGAUGACGUAGGCCGGUACAAUUUUCGCCCCCGGUACAAUUUUUAACGUGACAGCACCAAAUCCUAUGGCCCCAAAAUCUGUGUAUCUUCCGUUCAAUCCAUAUCCGUUUGGAAAUCAAAACACGAAAAACGAAAAGUGACUUUUUAAAAAAUCAUCCUCGUUGGGAUAGCUUGACCAGAAAUUCAUCACAUGUAUUUCUCUUUUAAAACAUGUAUACCGGUGUAAUAGUCUCUGUAUGAGCUUUUACCAAUAAUAAAGUCGAGAGAACAGUUUGGGAAAGCUGAGCGGUAGGGAAACCGCCUCCCCUCUGCCGCGUUCCCUCUUUGAAAUGAAGGGAGGCGACGAGCUGCAGCGCGGUGGAGGCGCGGAAACUCGCAAUAAUAUCAUAUUCCAACCUAAAUGGUUGUGCCGAUUGCCAAACAACUGAUGGGCCCAUGAGUUAACAAUAAUUAAUAACAUUAGCACACUUACCAGAUGUGGAGGUCUGUGGACUGUGUGUAGUAGACCAUCUUCAUUUUGUGUCUGCAGUUUUUGCAUUUCACUUUUCUUUGCAGCAACCUUUUCUUUUGCAACCAUGUUAUCAACUUGAAUGAUGUUUUUUUUCACUCCUUGACAUUCACUUUUCUCAAAAGUGUUCCCACAAGCGAAGCCAUAGCAGGAAAUAACUGAUGUUACUGGCCCCGAUUUGAAAAUCUGGCACACUUUUCUGUUAUUAGUUCAAUAUGUGGAGGUACGCUUGAUUUUUACAUCUAAACACCUCCCACCGCAAAGGUUGGGCUGAUUCCCUGGUUGUUGCCUGACUCAAUCAUAAUAAUCAAGCGCUUCUACCGUCCGAUUGGCUAAGCCGCACCGCCAACUCUGUGCCGUUGAAAGAAGCUAUUAGUCCGCGCAAAAUAAAUUGGAUCUUGUCGCUAUGUACCAGCAUAUGAUUUUCCAUCAGUUAAGUUCGGCGUUGCCUGGAAAUAUGAUGGAAAGGCCUGAGCGCUCUACCCGGGCAAAAGGACAGCGGGGGAAUGAAGGAGAAAGCUCCGAUAUGCCUACUGCUGUUAGUAAUAUCGAAAAUUUUCAACCACACAAAGUGCAAUGGAAGAAAAGGUCGGAAGAGCUGCAGUCCCGAAUCAAUGAGCUGGAGG